GACGAACGCUGGCGGCGUGCUUAACACAUGCAAGUCGAACGAUGAAGCACCAGCUUGCUGGUGUGGAUUAGUGGCGAACGGGUGAGUAACACGUGAGUAACCUGCCCCUCACUCUGGGAUAAGCCUGGGAAACUGGGUCUAAUACUGGAUACGACCGAUCUCCGCAUGGAGUGUUGGUGGAAAGUUCUUGUGGUGGGGGAUGGACUCGCGGCCUAUCAGCUUGUUGGUGGGGUAGUGGCCUACCAAGGCGACGACGGGUAGCCGGCCUGAGAGGGCGACCGGCCACACUGGGACUGAGACACGGCCCAGACUCCUACGGGAGGCAGCAGUGGGGAAUAUUGCACAAUGGGCGGAAGCCUGAUGCAGCGACGCCGCGUGAGGGAUGACGGCCUUCGGGUUGUAAACCUCUUUCACCAGGGACGAAGCUAACGUGACGGUACCUGGAGAAGAAGCACCGGCUAACUACGUG
Molecule: ribosomal RNA, 469 nt
Filed under: uncultured bacterium
Lineage: Bacteria
Description: partial 16S ribosomal RNA
Rfam family: Bacterial small subunit ribosomal RNA
Source: RNAcentral